RNAcentral lists this ribosomal RNA (202 nucleotides) under Staphylococcus marylandisciuri. RNAcentral's name for it is "partial 16S ribosomal RNA". It matches the Rfam family "Bacterial small subunit ribosomal RNA", at positions 1 to 197 of the family's 1533-position model. The record is from RNAcentral. Lineage: Bacteria; Bacillati; Bacillota; Bacilli; Caryophanales; Staphylococcaceae.
UUUAUGGAGAGUUUGAUCCUGGCUCAGGAUGAACGCUGGCGGCGUGCCUAAUACAUGCAAGUCGAGCGAACAGAUGGGGAGCUUGCUCCCCCGACGUUAGCGGCGGACGGGUGAGUAGCACGUGGGUAACCUACCUAUAAGACUGGAAUAACUCCGGGAAACCGGGGCUAAUGCCGGAUAACAUGUGGGACCGCAUGGUCCU